RNAcentral lists this ribosomal RNA (254 nucleotides) under uncultured bacterium. RNAcentral's name for it is "partial 16S ribosomal RNA". It matches the Rfam family "Bacterial small subunit ribosomal RNA", at positions 524 to 776 of the family's 1533-position model. The record is from RNAcentral.
UACGGAGGGUGCAAGCGUUAUCCGGAUUCACUGGGUUUAAAGGGUGCGUAGGUGGGUCUGUAAGUCAGUGGUGAAAUCUCGGAGCUUAACUCCGAAACUGCAUUCGAUACUGCCGUGCUUGAGGACUGGAGAGGAGACUGGAAUUUACGGUGUAGCGGUGAAAUGCGUAGAUAUCGUAAGGAAGACCAGUGGCGAAGGCGGGUCUCUGGACAGUUCCUGACGCUGAGGCACGAAGGCCAGGGGGAGCAAACGGG